CGUGGAAGAUGACCACGUUGAUAGGCUACAGGUGUAAAGGCAGUAAUGUCAUAGCCGAGUAGUACUAAUAACCCGUAUGCUUAUUGUA
RNAcentral lists this ribosomal RNA (88 nucleotides) under Paucihalobacter ruber. RNAcentral's name for it is "Bacterial large subunit ribosomal RNA". It matches the Rfam family "Bacterial large subunit ribosomal RNA", at positions 2836 to 2925 of the family's 2925-position model. The record is from Rfam by way of RNAcentral. Lineage: Bacteria; Pseudomonadati; Bacteroidota; Flavobacteriia; Flavobacteriales; Flavobacteriaceae.